RNAcentral lists this unclassified non-coding RNA (350 nucleotides) under soil metagenome. RNAcentral describes it as "partial contains 5.8S ribosomal RNA, internal transcribed spacer 2, and large subunit ribosomal RNA". The stretch from base 1 to 120 matches the Rfam family "5.8S ribosomal RNA", at positions 35 to 154 of the family's 154-position model. The record is from RNAcentral.
GAUGAAGAACGUAGCGAACUGCGAUAAGUAAUGUGAAUUGCAGAAUUCAGUGAAUCAUCGAGUCUUUGAACGCACAUUGCGCCCCCUGGCAUUCCGGGGGGCAUGCCUGUCCGAGCGUCAUUGCUGCCCUUCAAGCCCGGCUUGUGUGUUGGGUCGUCGUCCCCCCCGGGGGACGGGCCCGAAAGGCAGCGGCGGCACCGCGUCCGGUCCUCGAGCGUAUGGGGCUUUGUCACCCGCUCGAUUAGGGCCGGUCGGGCGCCAGCCGGCGUCUCCAACCUUCUAUUUUACCAGGUUGACCUCGGAUCAGGUAGGGAUACCCGCUGAACUUAAGCAUAUCAAUAAGCGGAGGA